RNAcentral lists this long non-coding RNA (3714 nucleotides) under Sus scrofa (pig). Its description in RNAcentral is "lncRNA (ENSSSCG00030035951.1)". The record is from RNAcentral. Lineage: Eukaryota; Metazoa; Chordata; Mammalia; Artiodactyla; Suidae.
GCGGGCCGGGAGGGGCCGGCCGACGGAGCGGGAGGUCGCGGAGGAGGAGGCAGGCCCUGAGACGAGGCGACCGGGCUGUGCGGACACGCAGAGCCCCUGGUGGGACCCCCCCCCGCCCCGCCUGAUUUUACAGAAUCUGAGGACCCAGAGCGUUAGGGGUCCAGGCCGCCUCACCCCAAGCUUAGCCCCAGUGGAGCCGAGUCCGCCAGAUGGCCCAGCGGCCAGGUGACAAGGAUGCGGUGAGGAUGGAGGCUGAGCUCAGGGCAGGUAGGUGCCUGAGGGUGGGGCUGUGCUGUCGGGCCUGAGUGCACUCCCCAGCAGGGCCCCUCCCGGCAGGGCUGCGGGGGCCAAGUGGAAGCAGCAGACCGUCGGGGACGUGUGCCCCUUGAAGCCCUGGAGGCUGCAGCCCCUGCAGUGCCCGGAGACAGCCCUGGUUCUUCUCCUGUCUCCUCUGGUGCCAGAAGGGGGCCUGCAGCUCAUUCUCCUCCUCCAGCACACAGGACACUAAUCCCACGGCGGGGGCCCCACCCUCGUGACCCAGUCGGCUCAAAGACCCCUCCUGACACCACCCCGAGAGUUAGAGCGUCAGGCUAGGAACUCAGCACAAACCUUCAGUCCAUCAAAGACCAGAAAGGGCCUCUGCUGUCUCAGCUCAUCUGGGUCUUGACCCUGCAGAGCGGACCUGGGCGCCUCAUCUUACAGAGAAGGCCGUGUGGCUCAGGGAGCAGAGCUGUGCGUGUGCACGUGUGACCAGAGCCGACUCAGCCUCCAGAAGAGGGGGGCAGGCCUGUGCCACAACCUGAUCCCAAGGCCAGCAGGAGGCGGGAGGCUGGCGAUGACCUUAGGACCUGGCGACAGUGCCCAGGGAACAAGCCGGGAUCCUGCAUUGCUGGUGGCGGCUGGGACAGCCAGGGAUGCAGCAACACCCCUCAGUGAGCAGUCAGGUGGCCCGGCUCAUCAGCCAUCAAGCCGGGCCCCUGGGCCUGUCACCUGUCCCUGUGUCCUCUCGGGGCCUCUCCUGUGUGUGGCUAUGUCCUGACCUCGCCCUCUCAGGCCCCAUCAGAGGCUUAGGACCCAAUGGCUUUGUCCACCUCCAGAUACUGUCCCACCCCAGGGUAGUCCUGGGGGCUAGGGUUUGAGCUCAUGGACUGGGGGGACUCUGUCCAGCCACAGCAGGACCUGAGGCAGGUCAGCCUGAGGCAGGUCAGCAGGGACCCGUGGUGCCCGAGAAGGAGGACAUGGCUGUUGGUCCCUCUCUGCCGGCUGCGAGCAGAGGAAGACACGAAGGAGAGCCCGCUUGGAAGCAAGGGGGCAGAGGGGCUGACCUUCGGAGGAGGAAGUUCAUGUUCUCGGCCAGAGCUGUCUGGAGGCACCGCAAAAGUUCCCGCCAACGGCGGCUCCCGGACGGCUGUGAUGGUGCCUCGUCCUCGGUCGCCGGGGGAGUCCAGCGCUGUCUACUCCAGCCGAUGGGUGUGUUCGAUGGACAGGCUCUUGUGUGGGCUUGAGUUUGUGGCCAAAGUGUGGCCCUGUCCGCGAGAGCAGCCCUCUCUUGAAAAGGAGCCCUAGGUCUGGAGGGAGAAGCACCAAAUGGACGCCUUCACAGCAGCACCGCAAGGAUCCUCUCCUGGAAAGGACCAGCUCUGCCUGGAUCUUGGCCCCGUGACACGGGCGUGGUACCUCUGGCCUGCAGAAGAGCCAGCCAGCAGGCCCCUGCUGUUCGAAGCCCCUCCGUGUGGGGUCUUCGUCACAGCAGCCGUCAGAGGUGUGUGCCUUUUAGAUACCCUUUGUUUUCCUCUUUUGCUGAUUAUGUAUCGUCGGAGGCUUCGCUGGGAGCUGGUCGCAUGGGAUAUUCGCACCUACCCUGGGUCACUGGCUUCUGGAUUUUUGUCCGAUGCCCCCAGAGCUUCCAGAGGGGUCAGCGCCGGGCCGUCCUUGGACUUCUGCUGUCCCGACCCGCGACGAUAAAUCUGUGCUGUUUCGAGCCACGUUUGUCACGGCGGCCUCCGGGAGCGCCUACGCUCUGACGCUCUCUCUUCCGCCGCAGCCUCGGCCUGGAGAGGAUGGCGUCGCGGGACAGGAGGCCUGUGGGCACACGCAAGACCCGCACCGAGGCCCCCUCCUCUCUGCGCUGCCAAGGGCCUCGAGCACCAUCAGUCUCUGGCAGCCGGACUGCCACCUAGGAACCCUCCACCUGCUGCUGCCGCACUGCCGGGGGCUGGGAUGGACGGACAAACCCAGGGCCCGGCCUUGUGGGCUCCAUGUUCAGCUGUGCCCACAGACAGCGGGUUCCCCCCAAAGUGACGGCGCCUCCCUGCCAGGGCGGGGAAGCCCAUCGGGCCGCCCAUGCGACACGGGCUCUCCCGACCCGGGACCGCGACCACAUCCUCAGGCGUCUCCAAAGAACGACAAACGAGAACCAGCCUCAGGACCCCGCAGACGCCGUGGCCAAGAGAUGUCCCCAAAGCCUUCCCCAGUGCCCUAUCCCUCCCUAAGCCCCACCAGACCAGGCAGAGAUGCCCCAGUGUCCUCCCUGCCCUCCCCACAAGCACGUCUGGUCUGUACCCUCAGCCCCCUGCUUGGGUUCGGGGGUCCCCUCCGGGGAGACUUUGUUCUGUAAACUUGCCCUUGACCUCUGAGCCCCGCUCCUGCCCCAGCUUCUCCGCUGCACCUGCCCCUGUCCCUGCACUGCUGCCUCCUCCCACUGGGUGCAGCUCCAGGACAGCGGGGGGUCUCCUCUGCCUCGGGGUCCCCGUGCCUGCGGGAAAGCUGAGCUGAGGAAGAGAAUGCACGAAGCAGUGAAAUAAUGAAAAGGCACGUUUUGCCUAGAAAAGGAGGCUCCAGAGAGUGGCCGGCGGCUGGUCUGAAGACGUGGAACCCAGGUGCCAGCCUCGUUUCUAGUGAAAUGUCAGCGCAGAAGCCUGGGGGUUGUUUGUCCCCGCGCCCACGGAGGUCUCUCCCCGGUUCAUACAUUUACCCAACCGCAGAGUUUGGGAAAGUGCAUAAAGUAGAAAUAAGCCUCCGUCUGGACAGAGGAGCGCGAUGAAAAUGAAGCCCCCUGGGCCCUUCAUGGGGAGGGAGGCCGAGGCCUCGCCCGUCUGUCCCCGGCCGGAGCUGAGCUCCUAAAUCACUGUCUCUGGGUGUUACUCCGCGCGUCUCGAGGAAAUGCAAAAUACGCCAGCGUGAUUAUUCUAAUGUCACUGGGGGCCUCUCAGUCAGGUGGAGAUAUUUCAAAUGCUGCCAUUUCCGAGUCAGACCGGCUCCACAAUAUUUAGGCAACUCCGCAAAAGCACAGCCAGGCCGUGAAUCAGAGGCACCGUGCCGAGUGCUCUGGGCGCCCACACAGGCCUGAAAAACGGGAAGACAAAGUCUCCUUCCUUGCACCUGCUCUGUCGCCUCUGCCUCUGAAGUGCCACGCUUUGCCGUCCUGGCUCUGUCCCCAGGGCAGGUUCUGCACCGUGAAUGACCAGUGGGGGCGCCCCAUGGCAAGGGCAGCCCAGCAGGGCCCUCGCUGCCGUCCGUGUCCCCUGGGGAAGCGAUGCUCUGUGCCCUGCCAAAGCCCACGCCCCCGCCACCCCCAUGUGUCCUGUCUCCUCCCUGGAGAGCUGGAGGGACACUCGGCUGCGUGACUCAGCUCCGUGGAGGAGCCCAGGGUCUCCUGAGCACAGAUGCGCAGACUCUGGCCCACCUCUUCCAAGUGUGCGAAUAAAGCUUUAU